UACAGGGGGUGCAAACGUUGCUCGGAAUCAUUGGGCGUAAAGCGCACGUAGGCGGUUCGUUAUGUCGGACGUGAAAGCCCUGGGCUCAACCCAGGAACUGCAUCCGAAACUGCGGGCCUGGAGUGGUGGAGAGGGAAGCAGAAUUCCUGGUGUAGAGGUGAAAUUCGUAGAUAUCAGGAGGAACACCGGUGGCGAAGGCGGCUUCCUGGACACUUACUGACGCUGAGACGCGAAAGCGUGGGGAGCAAACAGG
This 253-nucleotide ribosomal RNA is filed under the name uncultured bacterium. RNAcentral's name for it is "partial 16S ribosomal RNA". It matches the Rfam family "Bacterial small subunit ribosomal RNA", at positions 524 to 776 of the family's 1533-position model. The record is from RNAcentral.